GAACGCUAGCUACAGGCUUAACACAUGCAAGUCGAGGGGCAGCAUGGUCUUAGCUUGCUAAGGCCGAUGGCGACCGGCGCGCGGGUGAGUAACACGUAUCCAACCUGCCGUCUACUCUUGGACAGCCUUCUGAAAGGAAGAUUAAUACAAGAUGGCAUCAUGAGUCCGCAUGUUCACAUGAUUAAAGGUAUUCCGGUAGACGAUGGGGAUGCGUUCCAUUAGAUAGUAGGCGGGGUAACGGCCCACCUAGUCUUCGAUGGAUAGGGGUUCUGAGAGGAAGGUCCCCCACAUUGGAACUGAGACACGGUCCAAACUCCUACGGGAGGCAGCAGUGAGGAAUAUUGGUCAAUGGGCGAGAGCCUGAACCAGCCAAGUAGCGUGAAGGAUGACUGCCCUAUGGGUUGUAAACUUCUUUUAUAAAGGAAUAAAGUCGGGUAUGCAUACCCGUUUGCAUGUACUUUAUGAAUAAGGAUCGGCUAACUCCGUGCCAGCAGCCGCGGUAAUACGGAGGAUCCGAGCGUUAUCCGGAUUUAUUGGGUUUAAAGGGAGCGUAGAUGGAUGUUUAAGUCAGUUGUGAAAGUUUGCGGCUCAACCGUAAAAUUGCAGUUGAUACUGGAUAUCUUGAGUGCAGUUGAGGCAGGCGGAAUUCGUGGUGUAGCGGUGAAAUGCUUAGAUAUCACGAAGAACUCCGAUUGCGAAGGCAGCCUGCUAAGCUGCAACUGACAUUGAGGCUCGAAAGUGUGGGUAUCAAACAGGAUUAGAUACCCUGGUAGUCCACACGGUAAACGAUGAAUACUCGCUGUUUGCGAUAUACGGCAAGCGGCCAAGCGAAAGCGUUAAGUAUUCCACCUGGGGAGUACGCCGGCAACGGUGAAACUCAAAGGAAUUGACGGGGGCCCGCACAAGCGGAGGAACAUGUGGUUUAAUUCGAUGAUACGCGAGGAACCUUACCCGGGCUUAAAUUGCAGAUGAAUUACGGUGAAAGCCGUAAGCCGCAAGGCAUCUGUGAAGGCGCUGCAUGGUUGUCGUCAGCUCGUGCCGUGAGGUGUCGGCUUAAGUGCCAUAACGAGCGCAACCCUUGUUGUCAGUUACUAACAGGUUCCGCUGAGGACUCUGACAAGACUGCCAUCGUAAGAUGUGAGGAAGGUGGGGAUGACGUCAAAUCAGCACGGCCCUUACGUCCGGGGCUACACACGUGUUACAAUGGGGGGUACAGAGGGCCGCUACCACGCGAGUGGAUGCCAAUCCCCAAAACCUCUCUCAGUUCGGACUGGAGUCUGCAACCCGACUCCACGAAGCUGGAUUCGCUAGUAAUCGCGCAUCAGCCACGGCGCGGUGAAUACGUUCCCGGGCCUUGUACACACCGCCCGUCAAGCCAUGGGAGCCGGGGGUACCUGAAGUGCGUAACCGCGAGGAGCGCCCUAGGGUAAAACUGGUGACUG
This 1442-nucleotide ribosomal RNA is filed under the name uncultured organism. RNAcentral's name for it is "SSU rRNA". It matches the Rfam family "Bacterial small subunit ribosomal RNA". The record is from RNAcentral.